This 496-nucleotide ribosomal RNA is filed under the name uncultured bacterium. RNAcentral describes it as "partial 16S ribosomal RNA". It matches the Rfam family "Bacterial small subunit ribosomal RNA", at positions 29 to 507 of the family's 1533-position model. The record is from RNAcentral.
AUGAACGCUGGCGGCGUGCCUAAUACCUGCAAGUCGAGCGAACAGACGAGGAGCUUGCUCCUCUGACGUUAGCGGCGGACGGGUGAGUAACACGUGGAUAACCUACCUAUAAGACUGGGAUAACUUCGGGAAACCGGAGCUAAUACCGGAUAAUAUAUUGAACCGCAUGGUUCAAUAGUGAAAGACGGUUUUGCUGUCACUUAUAGAUGGAUCCGCGCCGCAUUAGCUAGUUGGUAAGGUAACGGCUUACCAAGGCAACGAUGCGUAGCCGACCUGAGAGGGUGAUCGGCCACACUGGAACUGAGACACGGUCCAGACUCCUACGGGAGGCAGCAGUAGGGAAUCUUCCGCAAUGGGCGAAAGCCUGACGGAGCAACGCCGAGUGAGUGAUGAAGGUCUUCGGAUCGUAAAACUCUGUUAUUAGGGAAGAACAAAUGUGUAAGUAACUAUGCACGUCUUGACGGUACCUAAUCAGAAAGCCACGGCUAACUACGUG